GACGAACGCUGGCGGCGUGCUUAACACAUGCAAGUCGAACGGAAAGGCCCUGCUUUUGUGGGGUGCUCGAGUGGCGAACGGGUGAGUAACACGUGAGUAACCUGCCCUUGACUUUGGGAUAACUUCAGGAAACUGGGGCUAAUACCGGAUAGGAGCUCCUGCUGCAUGGUGGGGGUUGGAAAGUUUCGGCGGUUGGGGAUGGACUCGCGGCUUAUCAGCUUGUUGGUGGGGUAGUGGCUUACCAAGGCUUUGACGGGUAGCCGGCCUGAGAGGGUGAACGGCCACAGUGGGACUGAGAUACGGCCCAGACUCCUACGGGAGGCAGCAGUGGGGAAUAUUGCACAAUGGGCGGAAGCCUGAUGCAGCAACGCCGCGUGCGGGAUGACGGCCUACGGGUUGUAAACCGCUUUCGCCUGUGACGAAGCGUGAGUGACGGUAAUGGGUAAAGAAGCACCGGCUAACUACGUG
RNAcentral lists this ribosomal RNA (468 nucleotides) under uncultured bacterium. Its description in RNAcentral is "partial 16S ribosomal RNA". It matches the Rfam family "Bacterial small subunit ribosomal RNA", at positions 28 to 507 of the family's 1533-position model. The record is from RNAcentral.